Molecule: ribosomal RNA, 484 nt
Filed under: uncultured bacterium
Lineage: Bacteria
Description: partial 16S ribosomal RNA
Rfam family: Bacterial small subunit ribosomal RNA
Source: RNAcentral
GACGAACGCUGGCGGCGUGCUUAACACAUGCAAGUCGAACGGAAAGGCCCUGCUUUUGUGGGGUGCUCGUGUGGCGAACGGGUGAGUAACACGUGAGUAACCUGCCCUUGACUUUGGGAUAACUUCAGGAAACUGGGGCUAAUACCGGAUAGGAGCUCCUGCUGCAUGGUGGGGGUUGGAAAGUUUCGGCGGUUGGGGAUGGACUCGCGGCUUAUCGGCUUGUUGGUGGGGUAGUGGCUUACCAAGGCUUUGACGGGUAGCCGGCCUGAGAGGGUGACCGGCCACAUUGGGACUGAGAUACGGCCCAGACUCCUACGGGAGGCAGCAGUGGGGAAUAUUGCACAAUGGGCGGAAGCCUGAUGCAGCAACGCCGCGUGCGGGAUGACGGCCUUCGGGUUGUAAACCGCUUUCGCCUGUGACGAAGCGUGAGUGACGGUAAUGGGUAAAGAAGCACCGGCUAACUACGUGCCAGCCGCCGCCGUAA